This 418-nucleotide ribosomal RNA is filed under the name uncultured bacterium. RNAcentral's name for it is "bacterial SSU rRNA". It matches the Rfam family "Bacterial small subunit ribosomal RNA", at positions 355 to 787 of the family's 1533-position model. The record is from RNAcentral.
UGGGGAAUAUUGGGCAAUGGACGCAAGUCUGACCCAGCAACGCCGCGUGAAGGAAGAAGGCUUUCGGGUUGUAAACUUCUUUUAUGAGGGGCGAAGGAAGUGACGGUACCUCCUGAAUAAGCCACGGCUAACUACGUGCCAGCAGCCGCGGUAAUACGUAGGUGGCAAGCGUUAUCCGGAUUUACUGGGUGUAAAGGGCGUGUAGGCGGGCUUGCAAGUCAGAUGUGAAAACUAUGGGCUCAACCCAUAGCCUGCAUUUGAAACUGUAGGUCUUGAGUGAUGGAGAGGCAGGCGGAGUUCCGUGUGUAGCGGUGAAAUGCGUAGAUAUACGGAGGAACACCAGUGGCGAAGGCGGCCUGCUGGACAUUAACUGACGCUGAGGCGCGAAAGCGUGGGGAGCAAACAGGAUUAGAUACCC